Molecule: long non-coding RNA, 1983 nt
Organism: Lemur catta (Ring-tailed lemur)
Lineage: Eukaryota; Metazoa; Chordata; Mammalia; Primates; Lemuridae
Exons: 12
Source: RefSeq, a predicted model, not a curated record
CUGGAGUCUUGGAAAGCAGUGGGAAAAAAAGGGGAAAAAAAGUCUCUUAUGGUAUCUUUUAGGGUGAGAGCAAAUAUACAAAAUUUAAAAAACAUACUCCGCAGUUAACUCAUGAUAGAAGAUAACAGCGAUAGUUUUUCAUUAAAAAUAAACAGAAGUAACUCUGGAUAUGAGUUACACAAAAUAAGAUUAUAAGCACAGUAGCUGUGAUUUUAACUUUUCUUCUCUUCCAAAUGGGGAUUUCCCAGGAUGUCUCAAAUGGGCAGGCUCUGACUAAGACCUGUGGCAGAUCAGCCUUGCUCUGCUGCCGGAGCACUUUCAGCUGGAAGGUGCCGUGUGGUGAAGGAGCUCUUUAGUGACAGGAAGUGACUGGGUGCGAGAAGGUUUAUAGGGCUCCACUUCGGGCGACAAGGAAGUACGAGACUGACUGUAAAUGAUUUGGGGACUGUCCCCACAGAUUCUUCUCGGCCUUUCUGUUUAAAGAAAACAACCUGUUGGUGGCUCCAGCUGCAAUGUAGGCGGCUUGUAAAGGCGAUGUUAGGAGAAGCUUGAGAGAGAAGAGAUGAGGGUCGGGAAUCCACUCUUGCCCCUCCUUUCUGGAACUCCCCGGUUUUUAAAGUGGUGGACGGUGCCGGCAGAGCAGCCAACUCGAAGCAGAGAUGAAGUGCAGCUGCGGGUGCUGGUGUGAGCCCCAGUGAGAGGAUGUGGAAGAAGAGCAUUUGUGUGAAUCAAAUUACUUUGAUGGUCUGUUCUAGCCCAAGGAUUUCAGAAAAUGAAGUGAAUAUUCCUGCCAUAAUACUUAAAGAAAAAACAAAAUAUACAAACAAAAACCCCAAACCUUGAAAGGCCUUCACCUUGGCUCCGAGGGCUGGCAUUUCACCUCCCUGUGGACUCCUCGUAAUCACCAAAAGGAAUUUGAGGGCAAAUUUAGAAACCUUGCUGAAAAUAUGUUAGCCCCCAUGAAGGAGAAAUGAGGAUUGCUGAUACUGUUCUUGUCUAAUAAAGAGAGCCCUGGAACAAACGCAAAUGCCUCAUCAGUGAGCACCGGACUGCCACGAUACAGACUCACUGCUAUAAAGUCAUCUAAUCUGUGGAAGGAACAGUUUCUUGCUGAAUAAAUACACAUGUGAAACCGUCACUAAGCUUAUAGGCAAAGGCAGUUUAAACCAUUGAAUAAAUAUGAAAAUGUUUGUCAUUUAAAAAAUAGAUUCUAGAAAAGAAUCAAAGGGUACAGAUAACAGACAUUUCUGGCUGGAACUGACGGUGUGUGACCAACUGCAGCAGCCAGGGAACAAUGGCUCCGAGGAGAGAGAGUCACAACGUCCAGCGAUUCCUGGAACUCCAGCCCAGCCGGCCAUCCGAGUCCUCCGUCCGCUCACCGAGCUGUGCUGGAAACUAACCUGUCACGGUGGAACUGAGCCCGAGGGAGGUGCCACAAAGUGAAACUGGCUUCUGGAUCUGCCGGGUGAGAGUGAAAGUAAAGGUCACUUUUUGGUCCCCUGAGACCAAGACGCGACAGCAGCUCAUCCCUCAGCCCCGCAUCCUUCCUUCCGAGCCCCGGAUCACGCAGACCUUACAGAGUCUUCAUACGGAGUGGUGAACACCACCAGUUUCUCAUCUUUGUUCAUGAGCUGUCCGCACGGAAUCUAAAAAGAAAAAAAAAAAUGAAGGACGUGAGGCUCAGACGUGUCUCAAAUGAAGUUUACUAUCCCAGCCAGAUGCGAGAAGACAGACCACAAGCUUACCUUCUGCCGGGUCCUAAUCAAAGUGACAAAGGAGACAAUUGGACAAAAGAUACUCUGCAAUCAAAGGGCUUCUCUUUCAAGUGGAAGCAAAUAAAUAAAAUAAAGCCCACCCUGAGGACACAGGCCUUGUCAAUAUCAUUGCCUCAUUUCUUUCAGAGGAAAUAAACAACAGAAGGCCAGGAUUGAGAAAACAUUUGGAGUCUCGCUUUGUUGCCUGGGCUAGAGUGCCGUGGUGUCA